Molecule: unclassified non-coding RNA, 650 nt
Filed under: Hevea brasiliensis (rubber tree)
Lineage: Eukaryota; Viridiplantae; Streptophyta; Magnoliopsida; Malpighiales; Euphorbiaceae
Source: RNAcentral
CGCUAAGAAAAUUCAAUCUUCCUUGCAGAGUUAGUAAUACUAAUACUAUUGCAACUUAAUCCCUUCUCUUUCUUUCCUUUGUUUUUGUAUAUACACACUAUUAUCAAUUAAUUAAUUAAUGGCGGAAACUGCUACGUAUAAUCACCCUUUGUUUAGCUGCAGAAUUUGCCAGAAUCCCAUCGCUCUUCGAGAUGAUCUUCUCUCUAAACGCUUUCUGGCGAAAUCAGGAAGAGCGUAUCUUUUUGGGCAUGCUAUGAAUGUGGUGGUGGGUAAAAAGGAAGAUAGAAAACUGAUGACAGGUACCUUCAGUGUUGCUGAUAUAUUCUGCAGCAAGUGUGGGCAGGAAUUGGGUUGGAAGUAUGUUAAAGCUUAUGAUCCCUCACAGAAGUACAAAGAAGGCGGAUUCAUAAUCGAGAUUGCCAAAAUUCUCAAAGAAUAUUAGUAAUAAGAUUUCAACACUUAUUUAUGUAAACAACUAAUGCUUGAUCGACUGUAAAUUAAUAAGAUUUCUGGUCAUGCAAAAACACUACUUUUAGUCCUUUGUAUGUUGUUAUCUAUCAUGCUGUUGAUGUGCAAGAAACAGGGUAAGCUUCUUUGGCAAUUAUGAUGAUUUUCACUUGUUAAUGGAUCUGGUAUAGUCAUCGAAAUGC